UACGGAGGGUGCAAGCGUUAAUCGGAAUUACUGGGCGUAAAGCGUACGUAGGUGGUUGAGUAAGUAGGUUGUGAAAUCCCCAGGCUUAACUUGGGAACUGCAGCCUAAACUAUUUGGCUAGAGGGCAGGAGAGGGAGAUGGAAUUUCUGGUGUAGCGGUGAAAUGCGUAGAUAUCAGAAGGAACACCGGUGGCGAAGGCGAUCUCCUGGACUGCAUCUGACACUGAGGUAAGAAAGCGUGGGGAGCAAACAGG
This 253-nucleotide ribosomal RNA is filed under the name uncultured bacterium. RNAcentral describes it as "partial 16S ribosomal RNA". It matches the Rfam family "Bacterial small subunit ribosomal RNA", at positions 524 to 776 of the family's 1533-position model. The record is from RNAcentral.